AUUGAACGCUGGCGGCAUGCUUUACACAUGCAAGUCGAACGGCAGCGCGGGCUUCGGCCUGGCGGCGAGUGGCGAACGGGUGAGUAAUACAUCGGAACGUGCCCAGUAGUGGGGGCUAGCUCGGCGAAAGCCGGAUUAAUACCGCAUACGACCUGAGGGUGAAAGCGGGGGAUCUUCGGACCUCGCGCUAUUGGAGCGGCCGAUGGCAGAUUAGCUAGUUGGUGGGGUAAAGGCCUACCAAGGCGACGAUCUGUAGCUGGUCUGAGAGGACGACCAGCCACACUGGGACUGAGACACGGCCCAGACUCCUACGGGAGGCAGCAGUGGGGAAUUUUGGACAAUGGGCGAAAGCCUGAUCCAGCAAUGCCGCGUGUGUGAUGAAGGCCUUCGGGUUGUAAAGCACUUUUGGCGGGAACGAAAAGGACUGUGCCAAUACCACGGUUCGAUGACGGUACCCGCAGAAUAAGCACCGGCUAACUACGUG
Molecule: ribosomal RNA, 484 nt
Filed under: uncultured bacterium
Lineage: Bacteria
Description: partial 16S ribosomal RNA
Rfam family: Bacterial small subunit ribosomal RNA
Source: RNAcentral